This 495-nucleotide ribosomal RNA is filed under the name uncultured bacterium. Its description in RNAcentral is "partial 16S ribosomal RNA". It matches the Rfam family "Bacterial small subunit ribosomal RNA", at positions 28 to 507 of the family's 1533-position model. The record is from RNAcentral.
GAUGAACGCUGGCGGCGUGCCUAAUACAUGCAAGUAGAACGCUGAAGGAGGAGCUUGCUCUUCUGGAUGAGUUGCGAACGGGUGAGUAACGCGUAGGUAACCUGCCUGGUAGCGGGGGAUAACUAUUGGAAACGAUAGCUAAUACCGCAUGACAACAGUUAUUGCAUGAUAACUGUAUAAAAGGGGCAACUGCUCCACUACCAGAUGGACCUGCGUUGUAUUAGCUAGUUGGUGAGGUAACGGCUCACCAAGGCGACGAUACAUAGCCGACCUGGGAGGGUGAUCGGCCACACUGGGACUGGGACACGGCCCAGACUCCUACGGGAGGCAGCAGUAGGGAAUCUUCGGCAAUGGACGGAAGGCUGACCGGGCAACGCCGCGUGAGUGAAGAAGGUUUUCGGAUCGUAAAGCUCUGUUGCAAGAGAAGAACGAGUGUGAGAGUGGAAAGUUCACACUGUGACGGUAUCUUACCAGAAAGGGACGGCUAACUACGUG